Molecule: long non-coding RNA, 18384 nt
Filed under: Nicotiana tabacum (common tobacco)
Lineage: Eukaryota; Viridiplantae; Streptophyta; Magnoliopsida; Solanales; Solanaceae
Description: long non-coding RNA (NTAB_LNC001856)
Source: RNAcentral
CGGAAAGUAGAGCUGAACAGUCUCCUGAAUUCUGUUCUAAGAAACAGAAACAAAAAGAUGGUGGAAAUAUCUGCUUUAAUCAUCUAAAUCUACUCAUGUUUUGCAACAGGCCCAACAGAUAGAGUUUUUAUAUGAGCAGGUGAGCAAUAUUGUUGCUAUUUUAGUUUCCAGUCGAAUAUAACUUCUAUCUUGUUAACAUGCAAGAAAGUCAUUUCUCUCUAUUGUUUAAAUGAUUCAAACAAUCUCUUCAUUUUCUGUAUGAACUUUACCAUGUGUAACCAUUUACUGGUUAGAACAAACAUCACAAUCGAUGGGUCUUUCAUUGUUUUAUAUCUAACUAUUUCUACUGUUAUAUUUUUAGUUUCCUCGUUAAGAAUUUAGAAGCAUCUCAAGCAUUCUAAUGUUCCCAUUCUGAAAAGAACAAAGAAAGUUUAGAAAAUAAUGAACUGAUAGAAGUGGUUGUAGACCGAAUUUAGAACUGCACCAGACAGAAUUUAGAAUGAUAUUUCUUUCAUUGGUAGAUCAUUUCAAUGUGUAUAAAACUGAAAAUGGUUAACCAGGUUACAUUCUUCCUCGAACUUCAACACACAGAAUUUAGAAUGAUAUUUCUUCCAUUGGCACAGUUUCAUGGUCUUCCUGUAAAGCAAUUCUCACAGCUUAGUCUAUCAUACCAUAUACUUUUAUAACAUAGCAGAUUCGCAGACCAUAUAGGUGAACCACGAUUAUAAUGGUUUUGCUAGUUGUUUAACUUCCUAAGAGUGAGACACAUUAGCAAAUUAGGCUGGACAUUCUGUUUAGUAUUCAAAGAUUGAUGAAGGCUGAGACCCAUUAGCAAAUUUGCCAAUGUUACCUUGGGAGUAUCAGUAAACCAACUUCUAAGUAGAAAUUUUCUUAAGGUGAAGAAAUUACAAAUCUUUUAUCACCAAAACUUAAAAAGCUUGAAAUUGUCGGCGUAAGUUAGCUAACUGUAAUAGAUCACUUGCACAUUUCUAUGAUUAACCACUCAUCUUUAUUACAGAGAAUCCGCUUCUUCAACAAUUCACCAGAAAUAGCUCACAUACCCAUUUCCCCCCCUUCUCAUUUUGUAGCCACGAUCACAUUGCUAACAAUAGACCCAUGAUUGAGGGUCACAUAGGGAAACUACCAAAAUAAAGGAAGAAAGAGAAAAACUUUUCACUAUCUAAGGAUGUGCAAGUAGCACACGUGGAGGAUAAAUGAUAGGCUAUGAUGUAACGCUAUAUAAACAAUAAAAAUUAUCCUUACCAUAGAAUAUUCAGCAAAUCAACAUGCCUCUUUUUCCUUCUUUGCACAUUCCUGGACAAAAACCUGUAAUAAGAAGGCAUAUCAGUUUUUAAACGGAAAUACAGCAGGGGGCAGCAGAAUCACAUAAGGAACAGGAAAUAUGAAGUAUAGUUUUUUUCAAACUGAACUUGUGUAUACCUGGGCUACACUCGAAAACUGGAUUCUGUAUUUGUAACUAAUAGAUCUAGAGGUUAUUUUAGCUUCUAUCUCAUUGUUUAUCUCUAGACGAACUCCAUGCUUCAAAAAUUAUACAAGAUCAAUCUACAUUUGUAAGAAAAGUACAAAUUCCUUCGUAGUUAUAAUUGUGUACAAGGUAAAAUAGGAUUAUAAUUAAGGAAAUUGUAUACUGUCGAGAUCGAGUUCGCCUACGACAUGAAAGGACAGGCUCGGAACAUGACAAUACGAGACUGAAGAUCGGCCCCAAGUCAUAUCGGGCUAGAACCCGGGGUCAGAACACCUGCCUUCGAGAACAUUGAGUCUGAAACCCCGGAGUCGACCCUAGCCCCGAAUGAGCUCGGAGAAGCAUUGUUAGCAUAACUAACGGAAGACCGAAAUAUUCGUAACCGGGCAGAUGUUGAGGCGGGAAUCUCGGCGCGUAUCAGUAAGGAACCGUCAAUCAGCAAAUCAAGGGAUUUUCACCUUUUAUAGAAUUGUACCUAAAGUAGGACUCAUCUAAUAUAUAAAGGGGGUCUGAUAAUUCAUUGAGAACAUUGUAACACGCAUCCCAAAGCAAUACGUUAUUAUUAUUUCUCUUUAAGUUCUUGUUCUUCUGAAUCCUGACACUGAUCGAAGCGUACCUUGCUCGAGGGUAAUUAACCUUCCAAGGCUAAGACUGUUCAAUUCGUGUGUUUGCAUUUACUUUAUCAUUAGAAGUGGAAUGGGAAGUGGACCCCUUUUAUUAUUCACAGUUGCUUAGCCCAUAUAAUAAUACUAGUAUAGGUUAUUAUAUUUACACAUUUGGCACUUUAUUUCCUUUUAUUUCCCGUUUUGCCUAAGAGUUAGUUAUGUUAGCUCAGCCACUAUCACGUGGACUGAGCUGUGGAAUGCCAAUCCCACCAUAUAGCUUGCAGCACAGCUCAAGGAGCACCUAUUGUGAAGUGAAUGCACUCUGUUAUUUUCCUUUCUCUCUUUUAUUUUCUCUGUUAAUUCCCUCUUAAGAUAUCAGUGGUAUCAGAGCAAUUACCUGCUCUGUGGGUGUGCUGCCAUGGAUGGUGAGAUGGAUGAAGUUUUGACGCCGCUCGAUCGAAUGGUUGUGCGACAAGACCAGCUCGAAUCGGUGCAUGAAAGCGCCUUUCGCGAGUUGAAGGACACGAUUGGGAUUGUUCGAAGCAUAGAGAAGGAUAAGCAGCAAGCCUUACUGGCAUCAUCGUCGAAGGAACUGUAUUCUCCAACUAUUGGACCAGGGGAUCUAUCAGGUAUCCAAAAUGCUUCCUCUCCUCGUCAAUUUGUAGCUCUUAGUAGCUCUGUUCAAACCAAAUGUCACCAGGCUAUCCCAAUUUUGAAAUCGUAUUUAACCCCAGUUUCAUUACCAAUUCCAAAUUCUCAAUUUCCCAGUUCCCAACUCCCAGCUAAUUUCGUUACAUUACCACUUCAAUCCCCUCGCUUACCAAAUCUUUAUACCCCCAAACCCAGUUUUGCUCAAAUUCCUAAUUCUCAGAUGGUUGGUAACCCUGUAUCAGCUCUGAUGUAUAGUCCUAACUUUACCCAUCAAUUACCUCCAUAUACGUAUCCUUUUUAGAAUCUCUAUGCCUCAUACUCACCAAACUCAGCUCACUAUAACUUCUCUUCUUUCCCAUAUAACCCAGACUAAAAUUACCCAAAUCCAACCCUACAUUACCAUAACCCAAACCAGUACAACACCCUUCCACUACUCCCAAAUCACCAAACACUCACCAGGUUGUCAAAGAUAGAGUUAUCCAGGUUCAAUGGAAAGGGAUUUCAGGAAUAGUGGUAUAGAUAUGAACAAUUUUUCUCAUUAGAUGAGGUCCCUUCUAGACAAAAAGUCAUUAUUGCUGCUAUACAUUUGAACGACAUUGCUCUUCAAUGGCAGCAAGCAUACAUGAGGAGCAGGGCCCAUCUCCCAUAUCCUACAUGAAAUGAGUACCUUUUCGCACUGACUGAUCAAUUUGGGGCAGAAUAUGAUGAUCCCAUGACUGAACUGGUUAAUUUAGGCAAACUGGAGGUGUGGUUGAGUUCCGGGAGGUGUUUGACAGAGCCAUGACUCGACUUAACUUGGAUCCCAACCAUGUUAUAAACAUCUUUUUGAAUGGGCUGAAGCCAGAGUUAGGAGAUGCAGUUCGAAUCCACAGACCCUUUUCACUUCCCUGAGCUUAUUAUUUGGCAAAAUUACAGGAAUCAAUAUUCCUCAAACAGUCUAAAGCUAUGAGGUGUUCAACUGUUUAUCCUAGUACUUCUUCUAGAGCCAACUCAUUGUAACGACCCGGCUGGUCAUUUUAAGAGAAUUAGCCCUGAACCCCUAUUUAUUGCUCCCUCUAUUUCAUUUUGUGGUUACGUGACUAACCGGGAGGAUUUGUUUUUAGUUUCGAAGUGAAAUGGGACACAUAGUCCCUAAAAUAGAAGUUUAAGUCAUAAGAAUUGAUCGUAAUUUGAAUUGAGUGAAGAUGACUCUGGAAUGGAGUUUUGAUGGUUCCAAUAGCUACGUAGGGUGAUUUUGGUCAUAGGAGCGUGUUCGGAUGUUGAAUUGGAGGUCUGUAAGUCAUUUUAGCGUCAAUUGGCGAAAGUUGGAAAAUUGGAUGAUUUUUGAAAAAUUUGAUCGGGGGUGGACUUUUUGAUAUCGGGGUUAGAUUCUGAUUCCGGAAGUUGGAGUAGGUCCGUAAUUCCAAUUAUGACUUGUGUGUAAAAUAUUAGGUCAAUCAAACUUGAUUUGAUAGGUUUCGACAUCGGAUGUAGAAAUUUAAAGUUUUAAAGUUCAUUAGGCUUGAAUCGAUGUGCAAUUCAUGUUUUUAGCAUUGUUUGAUGUGAUUUAAAGGCUCGAUUAAGUUCGUAUGAUAUUUUAGGACUAGUUGGUAUAAUUGGUCGAGGUCCCGGGAGCCUCGGGUGGAUUCCGGAUGGUUAACGGAUCAAUUUGAACUUGUGAGAAUGGCUAAAGGCACCAGGUCUGGUGCAACCGCACCUGCGCAAGAUUGACCGCAGGUGCGAGCUCACAAAAGCGAGCGGGCGAUCGCAGAUGCGGUGAUGAUGAGGAUGGCCAAUGGUCACAGGUGCAGCGUGAAGGCCGCAGAAGCAGAGUCGCUUCUGCGAAAGAUUGAUCGCAGAAGCGGACAAGUGCUUGGGAGGCUUGUCCGCAGAAGUGGGCUUUGGACCGCAUAAGCGGUUGGCCAGCGGCAGUGACCUUCCACAGAAGCGGACGAGGGGCCGCAUAUGAGGAUGAUUGUGCGCAGGUGCGGAGUCUGGGAGUUCAACUGAACUCCACAUAUGCGAAGAUUUCACUACAAAAGCAAAUUUUUGACCACAAAAGCAAAAUCGCUAGGCAGAAAAGGGCCAAGUCCGAGGGUUUGAUUUCAUUCUCCAUUUUUGAAUCAAGAGAGCUCGGAUUGAGGAGAAAUUUUGAGGGUUUUUCAUAGGAAACAUUUGGGUAAGGAUUCUUGACUUAUUUUUGAUUUAUUUCCACUCAGAAAUCAUUUAUUCUUCAUUUAAUUAAGGAUUUGGGUUGAGAAAUUUGUGAAAAAGGUGAAAAGAUCCUUAAUUUUGAGGUUUUGAUUGAGAACUUUGUAUCGAAUUUGAGUAAUUUUGGUAUGGGUGAACUCGAUAUCGAAUGGGUGUUCGUAAUUUUUGACUUUUACCCGAUUCCGAGACAUGGGCCUGGGUCGACUUUUUGGGGCGAUUUUUCAAUUCCUUGCUAAAGUCGUAGUUUCAUUAUUUAAAUUAAUAUCUUGUAGUUGUAUUUAUAGUAUGUAAUUACUUUUGGCUAGAUUUGGGACGUUCAGAGUCGGAAAGUCGAGGGAAANNNNNNNNNNNNNNNNNNNNNNNNNNNNNNNNNNNNNNNNNNNNNNNNNNNNNNNNNNNNNNNNNNNNNNNNNNNNNNNNNNNNNNNNNNNNNNNNNNNNNNNNNNNNNNNNNNNNNNNNNNNNGGGGCAAAUCCCCUUAGGAUUUGGUACUGUUGUAACAAUUUGUGAUAUGUGAGUAUCGUGUACGCGAGGUGACGAGUGCGUACACGGGCUAAAUGUGAAGAUUAUGGCUCUUGCUGAGUAGUCUUCUUUUAAUUCCUUAACUGAGUUGCCUUAGCAUGUGUAGUUAUCAUGUUUAGCCUAGUAUCACAUGCCUACGUGUCUUAACUCUUACUUGCAAUUUGUGCAACAUGCUUAGUUGAAUUACCUACUUCCUUGACUUUGUAUUCAGUCUUUAACUGUAGGAUUCCUUGCUGCAAAAUUCAUUGUUCCAUAAGUUACGAGUUGUGUAGUUACUUUUAGGACUACGAGGCGGUAGCUCGGGAGAUCCCCGUUGCAUAUUUACUUUUGGGAAUACGAGGCGGUACCUCAGGAACUCCUCGUUGCAUAUUUACUUUUGGGACUACAAGGCGGUUCCUGGGGAGCUCCCUUGUUGUUUAUUUAUGUUUGGGACUACGAGGCAGUACCUCGAGAGCGCCCCGGUUGUUUACCUCUAUUUGCUGUGUUGUUAUCUUUCUGUAAUUUCUCAUUGUUAAAUUCUCAGUCAUUUCACUAUAUUAUUAUAUUUUCUGCCUUAUUUCCUUUUACUCCAGUAGGGGCCUAACCUGACCUCGUCACUACUCUACCGAGGUUAGGCUUGGCGCUUACUGUGUACUGUUGUGGUGUACUCAUGCUACUCUUCUGCACAUCUUUUUGUGCAGAUCCAGGUUUUUCCUACCAGGCCAGAUACUAGUAAGAUAGCCUGUACGUGAAAACUUCAAGGUACAUCUGCCAGCGUCCGUAAACCUCAGAGUCCCCCUCUAUCCUUAUUAUGUUGUUUUCCUUAUUUUCCUUAGACUCUAAUGUAUAGAGACACUUAGUUUGAACCGCAGUUUUUAUAUAUUUCAUAUGUUGAGGUUUGAGUUGAGUUUUAUAUUCCGUUAUUCCUCAAAAUUGUUAGGAUUACCUAGUCAUAGAGACUAUGUGCCGUCCCGACAUCCUACGGAGAGAAAUUUGGGUCGUGACAAGUUCGUAUUAGAGCUCUAUGUUCAUAGGUGUUAUGAGUCACAAGCAGGUUUAGCAGAGUCUCGCGGAUCGGUACGGAGACGUUUGUACUUAUCUUUGGGAGGCUAUGAAACUGUUAGGAAAAUUUCACUUCUUUGAUUCCUUGUCGUGCGAAACUUGUUGACUUCGGGAUUCUUAACUUCUAUCUUUCUAUUCUCUCACAGAUGGUGAGGAUACGUACAACUGGAUUAGAUGACUAGACACCCGCGCCCCCUACUAGAGCCAUGAGAGGCCGGGGUCAGGGCAGGGGUAGAGGCUGAGGAAGUCCACGUGGUGCAACCAGAGCACCCGCAUGAACUGCUAUAGAUGAGCCACCAGUAGCUCCAGUUGGAGGACAGGCACCUGAGACACUUGUUACUGCACCAGCCCUCCAGGAGACUCUAGCAUAGUUUCUGAGCAUGUUCAGCACCUUGGCUCAGGCAGGAUUGAUACCACUUGCUCCUGCCACAUCUCAGGCCAGGGGAGGACUCCUACCGCCUGUACCCCAGAUCAGUGGGUUCAGGUCGACCAGGUUCCAGAGAUCAUACUGAUGCAGCCGGUAGCUCUAGUUCAGCUCGAGGUUGGGGCAGCAUUUUUUGAAGGGGAGCAGCUCAGGCUCGAUAGGUACAAGAAGUACCAUCCUCCUACUUUCAGUGGUUUGGCGUCAGAGGAUGCCCAGAGUUUUCUUGAGGAGUGCCACUGUAUCCUCCGUACUAUAGGUGUUGCAGAGUCUAGUGGGGUUUCCUUCACUAUGUUUCAUCUUAUAGGAGAGGCAUAUUAGUGGUAGCGAGCAUACUGUUCGGGAAAGGGUUCGUCGAUUUAUUGAGGGGCUCAACCCCAGUAUCAGAUUUAGCAUGGCCCGAGAGUUGAAGAUAGAUAUUGCGUACCAACAGGUAGUGGGGAUUGCUAGGAGGUUGGAGGGUAUGCUGACUCGGGAGAGAGAAGAGAGAGAAGCCAAGAGGUCUCAAGAGUCUGGCACUUAUAGUAGUACUCGUGCCCCAGCUACAGCUCGUCAGGGCAGGGGUUAUAUGGAUAUGAGUCGCCCUGUUCACUCAGCACUUCCAGCCGCCAGCGGUGCUCCGGCCACUCCUAGGCCCCAGGAUCACUAUUAUGCACUGCCGGUGUCUAGUGCACCUCCUGUACGAGGUGCUUUCAGUGGUCAAUCUAGCCGAUCAGGCCCGAGCCAGCCACAACAACCACAUCCUCCGAGAGCUUAUUUUGAGUGUGGUGACACUUGCCAUAUAGUGAGGGAUUGCCCCACACUUAAGAGGGGUACACCUCCACAGAUUUCUCAGGCACCGAGUGCUCCACCGGGUCCUCAUGCUAUGAUUACAGCACCAGCUACCACUCCACCUGCACCACUAGAUCGAGGUGAAAGUCGAGCAGGUCGAGGUCGCCCUAGAGGGAGAGGCCAGGCCAGAUAAUAUGCUCUUCCUACUAGGGUGGAUGCAGUUGCAUCCGAUUCUGUCAUCACAGGUAUUGUUCCGGUCUGUCAUAGAGAUGCAUCAGUCUUAUUGGAUCCAGGCUCCACUUAUUCCUAUGUGUCAUCUUAUUUUGCUCCAUAUUUGGGUGUAUCCCGUGAUUCUCUAAGUUCACUUGUCUAUGUGUCUACACCCGUGGGUGAUUCUAUUGUUGUUGACCAUGUGUAUUGGUCGUGUUUGAUUGUUCUUAGUGGUUUUGAGACCAAAGCCGAUUUAUUAUUGCUCAGUAUGGUGGAUUUCGAUGUUAUUUUGAUCAUGGACUGGUUGUCGCCCUAUCAUGCUAUCCUUGAUUGUCACGCCAAGACGGUGAUAUUAUCUAUGCCAGGUUUACCGCGGCUAGAGGGGAGAGGUACCUUAGAUCAUGUUGCUAGCAGGGUUGUCUCAUUUCUUAAGGCUCAGCGAAUGGUUGAGAAAGGGUGUGAUGCAUAUCUAGCUUAUGUGAGGGAUGACAGUUUUGAUACUCCUACCGUUGAGUCAGUUCUAGUAGUGGGGGAUUUUCCAGAUGUAUUCCCGGCAGAUCUUCUGGGCAUGCCGCCCGACAGAGAUAUCGACUUUGGCAUUGAUUUGUUACCGUGCACUCAGCCUAUUUCUAUUCUACCUUAUUGUAUGGCCCCGGCAGAAUUGAAAGAAUUAAAGGAACAGUUGCAAGAGUUGUUCGAUAAAGGCUUCAUUUGGCCCAAUGUGUCACCUUGAGGUGCUCCUGUCUUGUUUGUAAAUAAGAAGGAUGGUUCUAUACGAAUAUGUAUUGAUUAUCGCUAGUUGAACAAGGUUGCAGUUAAGAACAGGUAUCUAUUGCCACGUAUUGAUGACCUAUUUGAUCAACUUGAGGGUGCCAGAGUGUUCUCUAAGAUCGACUUGCGUUCAGGCUAUCAUCAGUUGAAGCUUCGGGAGCCAGAUAUCCCAAAGACUACUUUCAGGACUCGGUAUGGUCAUUAUGAGUUCCUUGUGAUGUCUUUUGGGCUGACCAACAUCCCAGCAGCAUUCAUGCACUUGAUGAAGAGUGUAUUUCAACCCUAUCUUGACUUUUUUGUCAUUGUAUUUGUUGACAACAUUCUGGUGUACUCCCGAAGUCAGGAGGAUCAUGAGCAGCACCUGAGGACUGUGCUUCAUACCUUGAGAGAAAAGAAGUUGUAUGUAAGAUUUUUGAAGUGUGAAUUCUGGCAAAACUCAGUGUCAUGUUUUGGGCCAUGUAGUAUCGAGUGACGGGAUCAAGGUAGAUCCGAAGAAGAUUGAAUCAGUGCAGAGUUGGCCCAGACCAUCCUCAGCUACGGAGAUCCGAAGUUUUCUUGGCUUGGCGGGGUAUUACUGCCGAUUUGUAGAGGGUUUCUCGUCUGUUGCAGCACCUAUAACCAGAUUGACCCAAAAGUGUGCUCCGUUUAUAUGGACCGAAGAGUGUGAAGAGAGCUUUCAAAAGCUCAAGACUGCUUUGACUACAACCCCAGUGUUGGUGUUAUCUACUGGUUCGGGGUCCUAUAUGGUGUAUUAUGAUGCGUCGCGUAUUGGUCUCGGCGCGGUGUUGACGCAGGAUGGUAGGGUGAUUGCCUACGCCGUCUAGACAGCUGAAGGUACAUGAGAAGAACUAUCAUGUCCACGACCUCGAGUUAGUAGCUAUUGUUCAUUCCUUGAAGAUCUGGCGGCACUAUUUGUAUGGUGUCCCUUGUGAGGUUUUCACCGAUCACCGGAGUCUACAGCAUCUGUUUAAACAGAAGGAUCUUAACUUGCGGCAGCGAAGAUGGUUGGAGAUGCUUAAGGAUUAUGACAUCACUAUCAUCUAUCAUCUCGGGAAGGCCAAUGUGGUGGCCGAUGCCUUCAGUAGCAAGGCGGAGAGUUUGGGUAGUUUAGCAUAUCUACCAAUAGUAGAGAGGCCUUUAGCCUUGGAUGUUCAGGCCUUGUCCAACCAGUUUGUCGGAUUGGAUGUUUCCGAGCCGAGCAGAGUUUUGGCUUGUAUGGUCUCUUAGUCUUCUCUUUAUGGUCGUAUCAGAGAGCGUCAGUAUGAUGACCCCCAUCUGCUCGUCCUUGAGGACACGGUUCAGCACGAUGAUGCCAAAGAAGUCACCAUUAGAGAUGACGGUGUAUUACAGAUACAGGGCAGGCUAUGUAUGCCCAAUGUAGAUGGUUUGCGUGAGUUGAUUCUCCAGGAGGCUCAUAGUUUGCGGUACUCCAUUCAUCCAGGUGUCGUGAAGAUGUAUCAGGACUUGAGGCAGCAUUAUUGGUGGAGGCGGAUAAAAAAGGACAUAGUGGAAUAUGUAGCUCGUUGCCUAAAUUGUCAGCAUGUGAAGUAUGAGCAUCAGCGGCCAGGGGGAUUACUUCAGAAGCUAGAGAUUCCGGAGUGGAAAUAGGAGCGGAUCACUAUAGAUUUUGUUGUUGGGCUCCCACGGACUCAGAGGAAGUUCGAUGCAGUUUGGGUGAUUGUGGAUAGAUUGACCAAGUUAGCUCAUUUCAUUCAUGUGGUUACUACUUACUCUUCGGAGCAGCUUGCUCAGGUUUACAUUCGCGAGAUUAUCAGGCUUCAUGGCAUGCCGGUAUCUAUCAUUUCUUAUCAGGGUACGCAGUUUACAUCACGGUUCUGGAGACCCGUACAGCAUGAGUUGGGUACUCGGGUGGAGUUGAGUACAAUAUUUCACCCUCAGACGGACGGACAGUCCGAGCGCACUAUUCAUAUAUUGGAGGAUAUUCUUCGCGCAUGUGUGAUGUAUUUUGGGGGUGCUUGGGAUCAGUUCUUGCCACUUGCGAAGUUUGCCUACAACAACAGUUAUCAGGCGAGUAUUCAGAUGGACCCGUAUAAGGAUUUGUAUGCUAGACGGUGCUGGUCUCCAGUGGGUUGGUUUGAGUCGGGCGAGGCUAGGUUAUUGAGUACGGACUUGGUUCAGGAUACUUUGGAAAAGGUUAAAUUGAUUCAGGAUUGACUUCGUAUAGUCAAGUCCAAGAAGAAGAGUUAUGCAGAUCGAAAGGUUCGCGACGUUGCAUUCAUGGUUGGGGAGCGGGUCUUGCUCCGGUUUUCGCCCAUGAAUGGUGUUAUGAGGUUCGAAAAGAAGGGCAAGUUGAGCCCUAAGCAUAUCGGGCCUUUUGAGAUUCUUGAGAGGGUCGGGAAGGUGGCUUAUAGACUUGCACUAUCACCUAGUCUCAUUGCAGUUCAUCCAGUGUUCCAUGUUUCCAUGCUUCGGAAGUAUCACGGUGAUCCAUCUCAUGUGUUAGACUUCAUCUCAGUCUAGCUGAACAAAGAUCUAUCUUAUGUUGAGGAGCAGUGGCCAUCUUUGACAGGCAGGUCCUAAAGUUGAGAUCAAAGAAUAUCGCUUCAGUGAAGGUGCAGUGGAGGGGUCAUCCAUUCGAGAAGGCAAAUUGGGAGAUCGAGCAUGAUAUGUAUAGCCGAUAUCCUCAUCUUUUCACCACUUCAGGUAUGUCUCUAUACUCAUUCGAGGACGAACGUUUAUUUUAAGAGGAGGAGGAUGUAACGACCCGGUCAGUCGUUUUGAGAGAAUUAGCCUCGAACCCCUAUUUAUUGCUUAUUCUAUUUUAUUUUGUGGUUACGUGACUAGCCGAGAGGAUUUGUUUUUGGUUUCGGAGUGAAAUGGGACACCUAGUCCCUAAAAUGGAAAUUUAAGUUGUAAGAAUUGACCGUAGUUCAAAUUAAGUGAAGAUGACUCCGGAAUAAAGUUUUGAUGGUUCCAAUAGCUCCGUAGGGUGAUUUUUGUCUUAGGAGCGUGUUCAGAUAUUGAAUUGGAGGUCCGUAGGUCAUUUUAGCAUCAAUUGGCGAAAAUUGGAAAAUUGGAUGAUUUUUGGAAAGUUUGAUUGGGGGUGGACUUUUUGAUAUCGGAGUCGGAUUCCGAUUCCGGAAGUUAGAGUAGGUUUGUAAUGUCAAUUAUGACUUGUGUGUAAAAUGUGAGGUUAAUCGGACUUGAUUUGAUAGGUUUCGGCAUCAGAUGUAGAAGUUUGAAGUUUCAAAGUUCAUUAGGCUUGAAUCGAUGCGCAAUUCGUGUUUUUAGCGUUGUUUGAUAUGAUUUAAAGGCUCGACUAAGUUUGUAUGAUGCUUUAGGACUGGUUGGUAUAAUUGUUCAAGGUCCCGGGGGGGCCUCGGGUGGAUUCCGGAUGGUUAGCGGAUCAAUUUGGACUUGUGAGAAUGGCUGAAGGCACCAGGUCUGGUGCAAUCGCACCUGCGCAAGAUUGACCGCAGGUGCGAGCUCGCAGAAGCAAACUGGCGAUUGCAUAUGCGGGGAUGAUGAGGAUGGCCAGUGGUCACAGGUACGGCGUGAAGGCCGCAGAAGCGGAGUCGCUUCUGCGGAAGAUUGAUCAGAGAAGCGGACGACUGCUUGGGAGGCCUGUCCGCAGAAGCGGAUGUAUUUGCGCAGAUGUGCACCUGCAGAAGUGGGCUUUGGACUGCAUAAGCGGUUGGCCAGCGGCAGUGACCUUCCGCAGAAGUGGACGAGGGGCCACAGAUGCGGAUGAUUGUGCGCAGGUGCGGAGUCUAGGAGUUUAGCUGAACUCCGCAUAUGCGGAGAUUUCACUGCAAAAGCGGUACCGCAGAAACGGAUUUUUGACCGCAAAAGCGAAAUCGCUGGGCAGAAAAGGGCCAAAUCCGAGGGUUUGAUUUCAUUCUCCAUUUUUGAACCAAUAGAGCUCGGAUUGAGGCGAACUUUUGAGGGUUUUUCAGAGGAAACAUUUGGGUAAGGAUUCUUGACUUGUUUUUGAUUUAUUUCCACUCAUAAAUCAUUUAUUCUUCAUUUAAUUAAGGAUUUGGGUUGAGAAAUUUGUGAAAAAGGUGGAAAAUCCUUAGGCAGAAAUUUGAGGUUUUGAUUAAGAACUUUGUAUCGAAUUUGAGUAAUUUUGGUAUGGGUGAACUCGAUAUCGAAUGGGUGUUCGUAUUUUUUGACUUUUACCCGAUUCCGAGACGUGAGCCCGGGUAGAAUUUUUGGGGCAAUUUUUUAAUUCUUUGCUAAAGUCGUAAUUUCAUUAUUUAAAUUAAUUUCUUGUAGUUGUAUUCAUAGUAUGUAAUUGCUUUUGGCUAGAUUUGGGCCAUUCAGAGUCGCAAAGUCGAGGGAAAGGCAUUCUUAUCGAUUGAUUGAGCGAGAUUUGAGGUAAGUGACUUGUUUAACCUUAUGUGGGGGAAAUCCCCUUAGGAUUUGGUACUGUUGUAACAAUUUGUGAUAUGUGAGUGUCGUGUACGUGAGGUAACAAGUGCGUACACGAGCUAAAUGUGGAGAUUCUGGUUCUUGUUGAGUAAUCCUCUUUUAAUUCCUUAACCGAGUUGCCUUAGCAUGUGUAGUUAUCAUGUUUAGCCUAGUAUCACAUGCCUACGUGUCUUAACUCUUACUUGCAAUUUGUGCAACAUGCUUAGUUGAAUUACUUGCUUCCUUGAUUUUGUAUUCAGUAUUUAAGUGUAGGAUUCCUUGCUACAAAAUUCGUUGUUCCAUAAGUUACGAGUUGUGUAUUUACUAUUUGGACUACGAGGCGGUACCUCGGGAGCUCUCUGUUGCAUAUUUACUUUUGGGAAUACGAGGCGGUACCUCGGGAGCUCCCCGUUGCAUAUUUGCUUUUGGGACUACGAGGCGGUUCCUCGAGAGCUCCCCUGUUGUGUAUUUACGUUUGGGACUAUGAGGCGGUACCUCGGGAGCGCCCCGGUUGUUUACCUCUAUUUGAUGUGUUGUUAUAUUUCUGUAAUUUCUCAUUGUUAAAUUCUCAGUCAUUUCACUGUAUUAUUAUAUUUUCUGCCUUAUUUCCUUUUAUUCCAGUAGUCCCCUCAUCUGACCUCGUCACUACUCUACCGAGGUUAGGCUUGGCACUUACUGAGUACUGUUGUGGUGUACUCAUGCUACUCUUCUGCACAUCCUUUUGUGCAGAUCCAGGUUCUUCCUACCAGAGCAGAUACCAGUGAGAUAGCCUGUACGUGGAGACUUCAAGGUACAUCUGCCAGCGUCCGCAAAUCUCGGAGUUCCCCUCUAUCCUUAUUAUGUUAUUUUCCUUAAACUCUGAUGUAUAAAGACACUUAGCAUUUCUCUUUAUAGCUUGUGACUUAUUUCUACCGGGUUUUGGGAGUUAUAAUUAUUUUGAACCGCAGUUUUUAUAUAUUUCAUAUGUUGAGGUUUGAGUUCUGUUUUAUAUUCUGUUAUUCCGCAAAAUUGUUUGGCUUACCUAGUCAUAGAGACUAGGUACCGUCACGAUAUCCUGUAGAGAGAAAUUUGGGUCGUGACACUCAUUUACCCCUUCCUAUACAAAUGUUAAGAACCUUACCAAUCCAGCUAUGCACUUACCUAAACCUGCAGAGGAUAAGGGUAGAAGGAGAAGGCUAACCCCUGCGAAAUUGAGUGAAAAAAGGGCUAAGGACUUAUGUUAUGUGUGUGAUGAAAAGUUCCAGCCAAGUCAUGUGUGCAAAUUCAAGGCACAGUUGUUCUAGGUGGAGUUAGAGGAAGAAGGAAUAAAAGGAUUAAUAAUUAAAGAAAAGCAUGAGACUGAGGAGUUGGCAGAUGCUUGCGAGAUAUCCCUUCAUGCUCUUAAUGGUGCAAAGAAAUACAGAACCAUGAGAGUCACAGGGUAUUGCCACCAGAGACAGCUUAAUAUCUUGAUUAAUAGUGGCUCCACUCAUAAUUUCCUAGACUCUGAGUUGGUGGAGAGUAUGGGAUGGUAAAUAGAUCAAUGUCCACCCACAAAUGUGAGCUUGGCAAAUGGCAAUACAGUGCAGGUGCAUAAGAUCUGCAGAGGCUUAGAAUAGUUGAUGCAAGGCAAUGUGUCUAAGGCCGAAUUCCUCUUGUUGCCUUUUGAAAAUUGUGAUAUGGUUUUAGGCAUCUAAUGGUUAGGUGAGCUAGGAGAUAUCAUGUUCAAUUUUAAGAAAUUGACCAUGAAAUUUGAGUAUCAGGGAAGGCUAAUUUCAUUACAAGGAACAAUCCAUCAGUUGAAAGUAGUGGAUUCAGACUCUUUGCAGCACAUCAAUAGGGGUAAUGCCCAGUUAUUCAUGAUCAAAACAGUUCCAAUUAGGGGUGGGCAUUCGGUAUAUUCAGUUCAGUUUGAAGAAAUUCGGUUUGGUUAUUUGAUUUUCGGUUUUGUAAAAGUAGUAACCGAAAUCGAACUGAAAUAAGUUCGGUUCAGUUCGAUUUUUUAAUUUCGGUUUAAUUUAUUUCUAAUUGAUUUUCGGUUUGAAUAUUAUCAUAUUGGACUCUCUCUAUGUAAUAAUUGGACUGACAAAUUUGUUGGUUUUCUUUCAAAAUUUCGGUAAGUUAGAAUAAAAUGGUAAGUUUGGAUUGGGUAUUUGAUGGACUUCAAAAUUGAGCUUAUAUUAUUACCUAUGGGCUUAGCCUAUAUACAACUUAAAGAAUCUAUAUGCUAAUAAUUUGGUUUUUCGGUUAACCGAACCAAAUAAAUUAAUAACCGAAAACCGAACCAAAAAACUGAAAUUUUAAAAUUUUAAACUGAAACCGACCGAAAAAACUGAAUACCUGAAAUCGAAAUAAAAAUAUUUUUGGUUCGGUCGGUUUCUUCAGUUCGGACCGAAAUAUGCCCACCCCUAGUUCCAAUGGAAGAUAGUUGCACAGAAUUGAUAGGGGCAACCACUCAAACUCAUGAACCUGAGGAGAUUCAGUCUAUCUUAGAAGAAUAUGUGGAACUUUUUGGAGAGCCUCAGGACCUUCCACCUUCCAGGGAGCUAUUUGACCAUCACAUACCACUUCAGGAAGGGGCCAAGGCUGUGAACAACAGACCAAAUAAGUAUUCCCCAAUGCAGAAGGAUGUGAUAGAAAAGAUGGUGAAUGAAUUGUUGACCCAAGGUUUGAUUCAACAGAGUUGCAGCCCUUUUGCAUCUCCUGUGGUUUUGGUGGGAAAGAAGGAUGGAAGCUGGAGGAUGUGUGUGGAUUACAGGGCUUUGAAUCAAAUUACUAUCAAAGAUAAGUUUCCCAUACCCAUUAUCGAAUAAUUACUGGAUGAAUUGGGUUCUAAGAUCGACCUGAGGUCUGGAUACUAUCAAAUUCGAAUGGCCCCUGCUGAUGUCAAUAAAACUGCUUUAGGACAUAUUCUGGCCAUUUUGAGUACUUAGUCAUGCCAUUUGGGCUGACUAAUGCACCUUCGAGCUUUUAGAGCCUAAUGAAUCACAUAUUUAAGGAUCAACUCAGAAAAUUUAUUUUGGUAUUUUUUUAUGACAUCUUGAUAUACAGUAGGAGUUUGGAGGAAUAUGUCCAGCAUCUCAGAAUAACCUUUGCAAUACUCAGGCAACAUCAGCUAUAUGCACGAAAGACUAAAUGUGUUUUUGCUGCAGCAAGAGUAGAAUAUUUGGGCUACUGCAUCUCAGCAAAAAGGGUAUCUACAGACCCAAAUAAGAUACAAGUUGUGGCAGACUGGCCAAUUCCUAAUAAUGUCAAGCAAUUGAGAGGUUUUUUGGGGUUGGCUGGCUAAUACAGGUGAUUCAUCAGAGGAUAUGGCAUUAUAAGCAAGGCAUUGACUAACCUACUCAGGAAAGACAACUUCAACUGGAGUGACAAGGCAACUCUAGCUUUUGAAGAACUGAAGAAAGCGUUGACCACAACACCCUUGCUGGCUAUGCCAGACUUCUCUAUUCCUUUUAUUGUCGAGGCUGAUGCGUAUGAUGUGGGGAUUGGGGCUGUCCUGAUGCAUAAGGGGAAACCAAUUGCUUAUUUGAGCAAGGGUCUUUCAGUGAAGCACCAAUCUUUGUCAGUUUAUGACAAGGAACUAUUGGCAUUAGUUCUUGCAGUCACAAAAUGGAGUUAGUACUUGGUAUGCAGGCACUUCAUAGUUCGAAUAGAUCAAAAGGCAUUAAAAUUCUUGCUGGAACAAAAAUUGCAUACCGGUUCCCAGUUGAAAUGGGUGACUAAACUAAUGUAAUUUGACUUUGAAAUAGAGUAUAAGAAGGGGAAAGAGAAUAAAGUUGUUGAUGCUUUAUCUAGACUUCAUAUUGCUGAGUUAUCUGCUAUGACCAUAUCUACAGUUAGAACUGAUUUGCUGCAGAAUAUUGGGAGAAGUUGGGCAGAAUAUCCUGCCCUUCAGGAGCUGACCAAACAGUUACAAACAGGAAGUGAGGUCAAGGGGUACACUUAUGUACAUCAGCAACUCAUAAGACAUGGUAAAUUGGUAAUUGGAGCCAAUGUGGCUCUCAGGAAGAAGAUCCUCCAGUUAUGGCAUGACUCACCUUAAGAAGGGCAUUCAGGAGUAGAAAACACUUAUAGAAGACUGUCUGCACUGUUCUACUGGAAGGGCAUGAGGGAAGAUGUGACAACUCAUGUUAAAGCUUAUGAUGUCUGUAUAAGGAACAAGUAUAAAACCAUUGCCUACCCAGGUCUCCUCCAACCUUUACAGAUUCCUUCAGUGGCAUGGGCCAGUAUUAGUAUGGAUUUCAUUGAGGGAUUGCCUAAAUCUAAGGGCAAAUCAGUAGUUUGGGUGGUAGUGGAUAGGCUCACAAAGUAUGCCCAUUUCAUAGUAUUAUCACACCCUUAUUCAGCUGGUGACAUAACUAAGUUGUUCAUGGAAAAUAUUUUCAGGUUACAUGGUAUGCCUGCAGAGAUAAUCAAUGACAGGGACCAUAUAUUUACAAGUAAAAUUUGGAGGGAAGUGUUUGCAAUACAGGGAGUGACAUUGAACACAUCCACUACCUACCAUCCACAAUCCGAUGGUCAGACAGAGGUGGCCAACCGAUGCCUCAAAACGUAUCUGAGGUGUUAUACUUCUGAUUCACCAACUGAUUGGGCACAAUAACUGGUUUUUGUUGAGUGGUGGUAUAAUACUUACUUUCACUCCUCUAUUCACACCACCCCUUAUGAGGCUUUAUAUGGGCAGCCUCCCUCCCUCUUUGCACCUUCCUUACAUGGCUGGAGAUUUUGAGGUGGAAGAGGUAGAUAGGAGAUUGAUUACUAGGGAAUUCAAGUUCCAGUUGCUUAAUUAUCAUUUAGCCAGAGCACAACAACGAAUGAUAGACCAGGCUAACAAGCACAGGACUGACAUGCAAUUUAAAGAGGGAGAUUGGGUUUAUGUCAAGAUUCAACUGUACAGGCAGCUUACCAUGUCUCAGCAUCACUUUAACAAGCUUUCUGCCAAGUACUAUGGUCCAUAUAUGGUGGAGCAGAAGGUAGGCUCAGUGGAAUACAAGCUAGUCCUUCCAACUGAGCUUAUGUUGCACCUUAUAUUUCAUGUCUCUUUGCUCAAGCCUUGCUGUGAAGUACCACCUCAGAUUUCUUACCCUCCAGUACUUAACCUUGCCAGUCCAUAUUGCCCUCAACCAAAAAUGGUGCUCGAUGGGAGGAUGAUACAUAAAGGUUAAAGAUGUUGCUCAGCUUUUAAUCCAAUGGGAUUGGAUGUCAGAAGAUCAAGCAACGUGGGAGGAUGCCAACACUAUCAGAUUGAGGUUUCCAAACUUCUUUCCCUGAGGACAAGGAAGAUAUUAACAAAGGGGAAUUGAUACGAGAUUGGGCUUGGAAUGAGAAGUGGACCCCUUUUAUUAUUCAUAGUUGCUUAGCCCAUAA